AUUGAACGAUGGCGGCAGGCAUAACACAUGCAAGUCGAACGAGUGGCGGACGGGUGAGUAAUGUCUGGGAAACUGCCCGAUGGAGGGGGAUAACUACUGGAAACGGUAGCUAAUACCGCAUACCAUCGGAUGUGCACAGAUGGGAUUAGCUUGUAGGUGAGGUAACGGCUCACCUAGGCGACGAUCCCUAGCUGGUCUUAGAGGAUGACCAGCCACACUGGAACUGAGAGACGGUCGAGACUCCUACGGGAGGCAGGAGUGGGGAAUAUUGGACAAUGGGUGAAAGGCUGAUGGAGCCAUGCCGCGUGUAUGAAGAAGGCCUUCGGGGUGUAAAGUACUUUCAGCGGGGAGGCGUUAGCCGAAGAAGAAGCACCUGCUAACUCCGUGCCAGCAGCCGCGGUAAUUC
Molecule: ribosomal RNA, 406 nt
Filed under: uncultured bacterium
Lineage: Bacteria
Description: partial 16S ribosomal RNA
Rfam family: Bacterial small subunit ribosomal RNA
Source: RNAcentral